UACGGAGGAUGCGAGCGUUAUCCGGAUUUAUUGGGUUUAAAGGGUGCGUAGGCGGGAUAAUAAGUCAGCGGUGAAAGUUUUCGGCUCAACCGGAAAAUUGCCGUUGAAACUGUUGUUCUUGAGUGCAGAAGAGGUAGGCGGAAUUCGUUAUGUAGCGGUGAAAUGCGUAGAUAUAACGAAGAACACCAAUUGCGUAGGCAGCUUACCAUACUGCAACUGACGCUGAGGCACGAAAGUGUGGGUAUCAAACAGGAUUAGAUACCCGUGUAGUCCCU
This 275-nucleotide ribosomal RNA is filed under the name uncultured prokaryote. RNAcentral's name for it is "partial 16S ribosomal RNA". It matches the Rfam family "Bacterial small subunit ribosomal RNA", at positions 524 to 798 of the family's 1533-position model. The record is from RNAcentral.